RNAcentral lists this ribosomal RNA (543 nucleotides) under uncultured bacterium. RNAcentral describes it as "bacterial SSU rRNA". It matches the Rfam family "Bacterial small subunit ribosomal RNA", at positions 777 to 1322 of the family's 1533-position model. The record is from RNAcentral.
AAUAGAUACCCGGGUAGUCCACGCCGUAAACGUUGGGCGCUAGGUGUGGGGUCCGUUCCACGGGUUCCGUGCCGCAGCCAACGCAUUAAGCGCCCCGCCUGGGGAGUACGGCCGCAAGGCUAAAACUCAAAGGAAUUGACGGGGGCCCGCGCAAGCGGCGGAGCAUGCGGAUUAAUUCGAUGCAACGCGAAGAACCUUACCAAGGCUUGACAUGGGCGGUAAUCCGGUAGAGAUGUCGGGUCCGUAAGGGCCGUUCACAGGUGGUGCAUGGUUGUCGUCAGCUCGUGUCGUGAGAUGUUGGGUUAAGUCCCGCAACGAGCGCAACCCUUGUUCCAUGUUGCCAGCACUUCGGGUGGGGACUCAUGGGAGACUGCCGGGGUCAACUCAGAGGAGGGUGGGGAUGACGUCAAAUCAUCAUGCCCCUUAUGUCUUGGGCUUCACGCAUGCUACAAUGGCCAGUACAAAGGGCUGCGAGACCGUGAGGUGGAGCGAAUCCCAAAAAGCUGGUCUCAGUUCGGAUCGGGGUCUGCAACUCGACCCGUG